RNAcentral lists this microRNA precursor (64 nucleotides) under Myotis lucifugus (little brown bat). Its description in RNAcentral is "mir-9242 microRNA precursor family". It matches the Rfam family "mir-9242 microRNA precursor family". Lineage: Eukaryota; Metazoa; Chordata; Mammalia; Chiroptera; Vespertilionidae. The record is from Rfam by way of RNAcentral.
GGCCUCCAUCUUUGGGGUGAUCAAUUGUGGGGCUCCACGAUUGAUCACCCAGCAGAGGGAGGCC